GGUUAAGUCAGGCAACGAGCGAGAUCCGCACCUUUAUUUGCCACCAAGAAGUCACGACUUCGUUGGGAACACUAAAGGGACCGCCGUCGAUAAGACGGAGGAAGGAGCGGGCAAAGGCAGGUCAGUAUGCCCCGAAACCCCUGGGCUACACGCGGGCUGCAAUGGUAUGAACAAUGGGCUGUGACUCCGAAAGGAGAAACCAAUCCCGAAAUCAUAUCUCAGUUGGAAUUGUCGGUUGUAACCCGCCGACAUGAACGCGGAAUCCCUAGUAAUCGUGUGUCAUCAUCGCACGGUGAAUACGUCCCUGCUCCUUGCACAAA
Molecule: ribosomal RNA, 320 nt
Filed under: uncultured archaeon
Lineage: Archaea
Description: bacterial SSU rRNA
Rfam family: Archaeal small subunit ribosomal RNA
Source: RNAcentral